RNAcentral lists this ribosomal RNA (438 nucleotides) under uncultured bacterium. Its description in RNAcentral is "bacterial SSU rRNA". It matches the Rfam family "Bacterial small subunit ribosomal RNA", at positions 341 to 773 of the family's 1533-position model. The record is from RNAcentral.
UAGGGAGGCAGCAGUGGGGAAUAUUGCACAAUGGGCGCAAGCCUGAUGCAGCCAUGCCGCGUGUAUGAAGAAGGCCUUCGGGUUGUAAAGUACUUUCAGUCGUGAGGAAGGUGUUAAGGUUAAUAACCUUAGCAAUUGACGUUAGCGACAGAAGAAGCACCGGCUAACUCCGUGCCAGCAGCCGCGGUAAUACGGAGGGUGCGAGCGUUAAUCGGAAUUACUGGGCGUAAAGGGCACGCAGGCGGUUAAUUAAGUUGGAUGUGGAAUCCCCGGGCUUAACCUGGGAAUGGCAUUCAAGACUGGUUAGCUAGAGUCUUGUAGAGGGGGUAGAAUUCCAUGUGUAGCGGUGAAAUGCGUAGAGAUGUGGAGGAAUACCGGUGGCGAAGGCGGCCCCUGGACAAAGACUGACGCUCAUGUGCGAAAGCGUGGGGAGCAAAC